AUAGACCUACCCUAUUACUUUGUCGGUCCAAGAAAUACAGGUUUGAAGGUUUUUAGGAAACCAUUUUCUUCUUUGUCUCAGCAGCCUCUGAUUGGUGCCUCCAUGUUCAUCUCUAUUGAGUUUGCAGUUGAGCUUUUCAUAUUCAGACAGUGAUCUUGAGCCAGGCGUAAUUGCAGCUCUCAGAUCCAAAACAUUGGUGCUCCUUAAGGUCUCCACAACACUCAGG
This is a long non-coding RNA of Solanum tuberosum (potato), 226 nucleotides long. RefSeq lists it as uncharacterized. The record is from RefSeq and is a predicted model, not a curated record. The transcript has 2 exons. NCBI's taxonomy places the organism in Eukaryota, Viridiplantae, Streptophyta, Magnoliopsida, Solanales, Solanaceae.